GCCCCCGUAGCUCAGGGGAUAGAGCACCGCUCUCCUAAAGCGGGUGCCGGCAGUUCGAAUCUGCCCGGGGGCGCCA
Molecule: transfer RNA, 76 nt
Filed under: Brevibacterium sp.
Lineage: Bacteria; Bacillati; Actinomycetota; Actinomycetes; Micrococcales; Brevibacteriaceae
Also listed under: 6 other names
Description: tRNA-Arg
Rfam family: tRNA
About the family: Transfer RNA (tRNA) molecules are approximately 80 nucleotides in length.
Source: RNAcentral